RNAcentral lists this ribosomal RNA (353 nucleotides) under uncultured bacterium. RNAcentral describes it as "bacterial SSU rRNA". It matches the Rfam family "Bacterial small subunit ribosomal RNA", at positions 8 to 350 of the family's 1533-position model. The record is from RNAcentral.
AGAGUUUGAUCAUGGCUCAGGAUGAACGCUAGCUACAGGCUUAACACAUGCAAGUCGAGGGGAAACGACAUCGAAAGCUUGCUUUUGAUGGGCGUCGACCGGCGCACGGGUGAGUAACGCGUAUCCAACCUGCCCAUCACUUGGGGAUAACCUUGCGAAAGUAAGACUAAUACCCAAUGAUAUCUCUAGAAGACAUCUGAAAAGAGAUUAAAGAUUUAUCGGUGAUGGAUGGGGAUGCGUCUGAUUAGCUUGUUGGCGGGGUAACGCCACCAAGGCUACGAUCAGUAGGGGUUCUGAGAGGAAGGUCCCCCACGAUUGGAACUGAGACACGGUCCAAACUCCUACGGGAGGCA